GGGAGUAUAGCUUAACUGGAAAAGCGGCGGCGUAAACCCUCAAUGCGCCGUGAAUACGUCCCCGGUUCGAAUCCGGGUAUUCCCUCUA
This 88-nucleotide transfer RNA is filed under the name Clostridium sp. AM18-55. RNAcentral describes it as "tRNA-Leu". It matches the Rfam family "tRNA". From Rfam's summary of the family: Transfer RNA (tRNA) molecules are approximately 80 nucleotides in length. Their secondary structure includes four short double-helical elements and three loops (D, anti-codon, and T loops). RNAcentral also lists the same sequence under 1 other name. The record is from RNAcentral. Lineage: Bacteria; Bacillati; Bacillota; Clostridia; Eubacteriales; Clostridiaceae.